RNAcentral lists this long non-coding RNA (212 nucleotides) under Lathyrus oleraceus (garden pea). Its description in RNAcentral is "Pisum sativum (pea) long non-coding RNA (PSAT_LNC018710)". Lineage: Eukaryota; Viridiplantae; Streptophyta; Magnoliopsida; Fabales; Fabaceae. The record is from RNAcentral.
UUUUGGCAUACUACAUGAACAUCUGUCAUGAAGAUGGUGUUGAUCCUUUGGUAGAUCCCCUAAAUCUCCCAGAUAACUACCCAUAUGUUCUGCCGCCUACUCCUUCUUCCCCAAACCCUUGUUUUUUCUAAAAAAUGUCUUAGCACUUGUAUUUAUAUCUAAGUGUGUAUGUAUGUCUUUUAUGUUUUUCUUGUUGUACUUCGUUUGUAGUU